GUAGGGCGCGAGCGUUGUCCGGAAUUAUUGGGCGUAAAGAGCUCGUAGGCGGCUGGUCGCGUCUGUCGUGAAAUCCUCUGGCUUAACUGGGGGCUUGCGGUGGGUACGGGCCGGCUUGAGUGCGGCAGGGGAGACUGGAACUCCUGGUGUAGCGGUGGAAUGCGCAGAUAUCAGGAAGAACACCGGUGGCGAAGGCGGGUCUCUGGGCCGUUACUGACGCUGAGGAGCGAAAGCGUGGGGAGCGAACAGGAUUAGAUACCCUGGUAGUCCACGCCGUAAACGUUGGGCACUAGGUGUGGGGGGCCUUUUCCCGGUCUUCCGCGCCGUAGCUAACGCAUUAAGUGCCCCGCCUGGGGAGU
This 359-nucleotide ribosomal RNA is filed under the name uncultured bacterium. Its description in RNAcentral is "bacterial SSU rRNA". It matches the Rfam family "Bacterial small subunit ribosomal RNA", at positions 527 to 881 of the family's 1533-position model. The record is from RNAcentral.